This 301-nucleotide ribosomal RNA is filed under the name uncultured bacterium. RNAcentral's name for it is "partial 16S ribosomal RNA". It matches the Rfam family "Bacterial small subunit ribosomal RNA", at positions 509 to 807 of the family's 1533-position model. The record is from RNAcentral.
CAGUCGCCGCGGGAAUACGGAGGGUGCAAGCGUUAAUCGGAAUUACUGGGCGUAAAGCGCACGCAGGCGGUUUGUUAAGUCAGAUGUGAAAUCCCCGAGCUUAACUUGGGAACUGUAUUUGAAACUGGCAAGCUAGAGUCUUGUAGAGGGGGGUAGAAUUCCAGGUGUAGCGGUGAAAUGCGUAGAGAUCUGGAGGAAUACCGGUGGCGAAGGCGGCCCCCUGGACAAAGACUGACGCUCAGGUGCGAAAGCGUGGGGAGCAAACAGGAUUAGAUACCCGAGUAGUCCCUGUCUCUUAUAC